AUAGCCUUCACAUCUGCAGAAAUUAGGUUAGGAUGAAUAGAAAUAUAGUAAAAUUAAUGUGAGAUUAAUUGAAUUGUCAGCAUGAGUCGAGUGGACGAAGCGCCUACCACCCAUGUAACCCCAUCCUACUUUUGGGAAUGUGUCACUUUUUCCAGCGAUUGUCCAUUCUUCUCAAUCCAUGAUCCAAAUUUAUAUUACUUUGGGGUCGUUUUAGUCUGUUUGUACGCAGCGUUUUUGCUCAUGAUUCUUGCUGACUUGAAAUUUUAUUGGUCCGUCGAUCAUUUCCAACACCAAAUAGAUUAUUAUAUAAAUUUGGUAAGAAAGAAGGUAAGGCAAGUGCAGUUAGACCAGAGGAGAUUGAUGUCAACGCAGGAGAGGACAGAGAAACAGUUGAAGAGAAGCGAAGAUUGCAAGCGUGUCGUGACGGGUAUCAGGACAGCACUAACGAUGGACGACCCCAGACAAUUUACCGAGUUGACAUCGUACUUCGCUGACACAAAACCUCCCAGCAAGAAUACCUGGAAUGCAACGAGACGGUGCCCGCAGAAUGAAAUAAGCGACUGGUGCUUAUAAGGCGUAUUGUGGGAAGUAAAACAAAUUGUGCGUCACCACGAACUGGCUCUGGUUUAAAGUUAAGCAAUUACGAAGAAGCAAGCUGUGAGAUUGCAUCAGGCGAACUUCUUGUUUUCCCUACUGAAAACUAUCUUCAUUACGCUGGAUCUGUGUAUCUGCUAUCUAAAUCGUACACAAACAUUGUUUUGCAACCACAUUCACGUUGCACAUACCCUGUUUCCCGAACUAGAUUUGGUCGUAUAUGGCUAAACAGUUGGCUCAGCUCCAAUCGCUUCCUUAACCGUUUUAAAAUUAUUUAUUCGCAGAAAGUAAAAUAAAUAAAACCAAAACAUA
Helicoverpa armigera (cotton bollworm) is the source of this 906-nucleotide long non-coding RNA. RefSeq lists it as uncharacterized. Lineage: Eukaryota; Metazoa; Arthropoda; Insecta; Lepidoptera; Noctuidae. The record is from RefSeq and is a predicted model, not a curated record. The transcript has 2 exons.